AGCAGCCGCGGUAAUUCCAGCUCCAAUAGCGUAUAUUAAAGUUGUUGCAGUUAAAAAGCUCGUAGUUGAACUUCGGGAUUUACCCAUCGGUCAGGCUUAAUUGUCUGCACUGGUGAGAUAAAUCUCUACCUUCUGAGGAACUUUCAUGCCAUUUAUUUGGUGUGAUUGGAAAUCAGGACUAUUACUUUGAAAAAUUAGAGUGUUUAAAGCAGGCUAACGUCUGAAUAUAUUAGCAUGGAAUAAUGAAAUAGGACGGCUUGGUUCUAUUUCGUUGGUUUCUAGGAUCACCGUAAUGAUUAAUAGGGAUAGUUGGGGGCAUUAGUAUUCAAUUGUCAGAGGUGAAAUUCUUGGAUUUAUUGAAGACUAACUACUGCGAAAGCAUUUGCCAAGGAUGUUUUCAUUAAUCAAGAACGAAAGUUAGGGGAUCGAAGACGAUCAGAUACCGUCGUA
RNAcentral lists this ribosomal RNA (450 nucleotides) under uncultured Diversispora. Its description in RNAcentral is "SSU rRNA". It matches the Rfam family "Eukaryotic small subunit ribosomal RNA", at positions 569 to 1022 of the family's 1831-position model. Lineage: Eukaryota; Fungi; Glomeromycota; Glomeromycetes; Diversisporales; Diversisporaceae. The record is from RNAcentral.